Molecule: long non-coding RNA, 1654 nt
Organism: Helianthus annuus (common sunflower)
Lineage: Eukaryota; Viridiplantae; Streptophyta; Magnoliopsida; Asterales; Asteraceae
Exons: 7
Source: RefSeq, a predicted model, not a curated record
CAUUCUAACUAGGUUUUAUUUCUAAUUGAGAGAAGAUUCAGAGAAGAUAUACAAAAUCCUCCCGAACGCCAAACCUUCUCCUACCUUCAGUCGCCGUCAAACGCAGAUAAUAGAUAUUACAGAGAAUGACCUACAGUCGCAGAUCUGUUCUCCAAAGAUUCCAUGGUUCGUCUCGUGACCGAUCCAAACGCAGAUCUGUUCAUCGUUUAGCCAAAUUUGGGUUUUGCCCUAAUUCAACACUCUGGUUCCUCCAUGGCUUAAUUACUUCUCACCUUUUCCAUCUCAAGAUUCAGAGAAGAUAUACAAAAUCCUCCCGAACGCCAAACCUUCUCCUACCUUCAGUCGCCGUCAAACGCAGAUAAUAGAUAUUACAGAGAAUGAUCUACAGUCGCAGAUCUGUUCUCCAAAGAUUCCAUGGUUCGUCUCGUGACCGAUCCAAACGCAGAUCUGUUCAUCGUUUAGCCAAAUUUGGAUUUUGCCCUAAUUCAACACUCUGGUUCCUCCAUGGCUUAAUUACUUCUCACCUUUUCCAUCUCAAGGUUUUAUUUCUGAUUGAGAGAAGAUUCAGAGAAGAUAUACAAAAUCCUCCCGAACGCCAAACCUUCUCCUACCUUCAGUCGCCGUCAAACGCAGAUAAUAGAUAUUACAGAGAAUGAUCUACAGUCGCAGAUCUGUUCUCCAAAGAUUCCAUGGUUCGUCUCGUGACCGAUCCAAACGCAGAUCUGUUCAUCGUUUAGCCAAAUUUGGGUUUUGCCCUAAUUCAACACUCUGGUUCCUCCGUGGCUUAAUUACUUCUCACCUUUUCCAUCUCAAGGUUACUUAGUGAAAGCUGUAAGAAUGGAGUUAGGUGCCGCGAGCUCGAACGCAAACGAAGAACCAAAGUUCCUUUGGAACUUGUGGGCAAUUCCCAAAGCCAACUACUUGGCAUGGAGAGCUUUUUCGGGUAGCAUACCAUCUAAAUCAUGCCGUCCUGGAUCUGAAUUGCGCGACUUUGUGGCAUUGGUGAAGAGUCUCCAACACAUAUAUUUGUUAAUUGCUCGAUUGCCAGAAGCAUUUGGUGGAACAUAUUUGCUUGGGUGAGGGUUCCUAUUCCUUCCCAUUGCAAUAAUAUGGAGCACAUGGUGGAUGCAUUCGCUGCUAGCCCUGGAGCAAAAAAACCGGAUAAAAAUAGUUCAUACUAUAGCGUUGGCUACAAUUUGGCGCAUAUCUAGCAAGGAACUUGAAGAUUUUUGAAGGAAAAGUAACAUUCGUCUCAAGAAUAGUGGAGCUAAUCAAGGAACACAUUUUUAUUUAACCGGAUAAAAAUAGUUCAUACUAUAGCGUUGGCUACAAUUUGGCGCAUAUCUAGCAAGGAACUUGAAGAUUUUUGAAGGAAAAGUAACAUUCGUCUCAAGAAUAGUGGAGCUAAUCAAGGAACACAUUUUUAUUUGGGUGUCGAAAUGGGCUAAGGUUCCCACUAUGUCAUGGGAAAAGUGAGUUUGUCUUUGAUGUAGUCGAAUUAUUGUAAUCAGAUCUUCGGGUUUGUGCGUUUUUCUGUUUUUUUUUCUAUUGUACUUUCCCAGUUCCUUGUCCAAAAAAUAAAGGACUAGAAAAUAGUUUUCACAGCUUCACCUUAUAUUUGUUAUUCUUGCAAUAAAUCAGUAUUCUUUCAUCA